Molecule: non-coding RNA, 23 nt
Filed under: Arabidopsis thaliana (thale cress)
Lineage: Eukaryota; Viridiplantae; Streptophyta; Magnoliopsida; Brassicales; Brassicaceae
Source: RNAcentral
UCUUUUUCUAUGUGUUAUUCGCA